Molecule: ribosomal RNA, 468 nt
Filed under: uncultured bacterium
Lineage: Bacteria
Description: partial 16S ribosomal RNA
Rfam family: Bacterial small subunit ribosomal RNA
Source: RNAcentral
GACGAACGCUGGCGGCGUGCUUAACACAUGCAAGUCGAACGGAAAGGCCCUGCUUUUGUUGGUUGCUCGAGUGGCGAACGGGUGAGUAACACGUGAGUAACCUGCCCUUGACUUUGGGAUAACUUCAGGAAACUGGGGCUAAUACCGGAUAGGAGCUCCUGCUGCAUGUUGGGGGUUGGAAAGUUUCGGCGGUUGGGGAUGGACUCGCGGCUUAUCAGCUUGUUGGUGGGGUAGUGGCUUACCAAGGCUUUGACGGGUAGCCGGCCUGAGAGGGUGACCGGCCACAAUGGGACUGAGAUACGGCCCAGACUCCUACGGGAGGCAGCAGUGGGGAAUAUUGCACAAUGGGCGGAAGCCUGAUGCAGCAACGCCGCGUGCGGGAUGACGGCCUUCGGGUUGUAAACCGAUUUCGCCUGUGACGAAGAGUGAGUGACGGUAAUGGGUAAAGAAGCACCGGCUAACUACGUG